GAGGGUAUAGCUCAGUGGUAGAGCAUGUGCUUAGCAUGCACAAGGUCCUGGGUCCAAUCCCCAGUACCUCCA
Molecule: transfer RNA, 72 nt
Filed under: Camelus bactrianus (Bactrian camel)
Lineage: Eukaryota; Metazoa; Chordata; Mammalia; Artiodactyla; Camelidae
Also listed under: 3 other names
Rfam family: tRNA
About the family: Transfer RNA (tRNA) molecules are approximately 80 nucleotides in length. Their secondary structure includes four short double-helical elements and three loops (D, anti-codon, and T loops). Further hydrogen bonds mediate the characteristic L-shaped molecular structure. tRNAs have two regions of fundamental functional importance: the anti-codon, which is responsible for specific mRNA codon recognition, and the 3' end, to which the tRNAs corresponding amino acid is attached (by aminoacyl-tRNA synthetases). tRNAs cope with the degeneracy of the genetic code in two manners: having more than one tRNA (with a specific anti-codon) for a particular amino acid; and 'wobble' base-pairing, i.e. permitting non-standard base-pairing at the 3rd anti-codon position.
Source: Rfam by way of RNAcentral